UAUUUGCUUGGGUUUUGUUGUUGUUGUUGCUGCUGUUUUUGUUUUGUUUGUUUUAGCUGUCCUGGAACUCACUCUGUAGACCAGGCUGGCCUCGAACUCACAAAGACCCUCCUGCCUCCUGAGUGCUGGGAUUAAAGGCGUGCCCCACCACUACUGCCUCCACCACUGCCUGGCUUCAGCUUCCUUUCUUAGCCCGGAACACCUGCCCAGAGGUGGCCCCACCCACACCAGGAGGGGCCCUCCUGCAUUAAUCGAAAAAAUGCUUCAAAGACUUGCCAGCAGGCGCGGCAAGAAUUGACCCCAGGAGGAAGCUUUG
This 316-nucleotide long non-coding RNA is filed under the name Mus pahari (shrew mouse). Its description in RNAcentral is "lncRNA (MGP_PahariEiJ_G0002389.1)". The record is from RNAcentral. Lineage: Eukaryota; Metazoa; Chordata; Mammalia; Rodentia; Muridae.